UACGUAGGGGGCAAGCGUUGUCCGGAAUCAUUGGGCGUAAAGCGCGUGUAGGCGGUCCGGUAAGUCCGCUGUGAAAGUCGGGGGCUCAACCCUCGGAUGCCGGUGGAUACUGUCGGGCUUGAGUACGGAAGAGGCGAGUGGAAUUCCUGGUGUAGCGGUGAAAUGCGCAGAUAUCAGGAGGAACACCAAUUGCGAAGGCAGCUCGCUGGGACGUUACUGACGAUGAGACGCGAAAGCGUGGGGAGCAAACAGG
Molecule: ribosomal RNA, 253 nt
Filed under: uncultured bacterium
Lineage: Bacteria
Description: partial 16S ribosomal RNA
Rfam family: Bacterial small subunit ribosomal RNA
Source: RNAcentral